Molecule: long non-coding RNA, 529 nt
Filed under: Drosophila melanogaster (fruit fly)
Lineage: Eukaryota; Metazoa; Arthropoda; Insecta; Diptera; Drosophilidae
Description: antisense RNA:CR44047 (Dmel_CR44047)
Source: RNAcentral
GCUGGCUUGGUGCGGAUGGUUCUGACUAUCUCGUAAAUUAGUCUUGUGACAAACGAUGACAGUGCGGAUGGCUUGUUGCUCUGUGCAAACAAACCAACCCCAACCCCACCGCACCCACCCACGACCACUCGCCCUGCUUGCAACAUCGAUUAAACUUUGACAAAGUUGCGAUUAUUUUAUUGACAAACUGGCGACCUUGGCGUUGACAGUCGGUGACGUCACUGCGGCACUGGCUGGCACCCAGAAUAGAGAAAACCUUUCGUUUUCACGGUCAAACGGCGUACCAAAGUCGAAAAACAGACCAACUGACCCGCAAGCCAAUGUCAAUGAUGCACUAAAUCUCUGCCAGAAAUUCCUUGCCUACAUCUGACUUUCUAUAUAUCGGACUACAUAUAUGCAUAUGUUUGUAUAUAGCAGCAUGUAUAUGUAUGUUCGAUACGUUCAAUUUCACUUCGCCGCAGAGCGAGUGAAAACUAAAAGCAAAACAAACGGACAACAGACCGUAUAUUUACGACCUAUACUGUAUGCG